GGUUGAUCNUGCCGGAGGUUACUGCUAUCGGAGUUCGANUAAGCCAUGCGAGUCUANAGGUUUCUUCGGAAGNNNNNNCGGACUGCUCAGUAACACGUGGAUAACCUACCCUUGGGACUGGAAUAACCCCGGGAAACUGGGGAUAAUACNGGAUAGAUCAGGGAUGCUGGAAUGCACCUUGAUCCAAAGCUCCGGCGCCCAAGGAUGGGUCUGCGGCCUAUCAGGUUGUAGUGGGUGUAACGUACNUACUAGCCGACGACGGGUACGGGUUGUGAGAGCAAGAGCCCGGAGAUGGAUUCUGAGACACGAAUCCAGGCCCUACGGGGUGCAGCAGGCGCGAAACCUUUACAAUGUGCGAAAGCAUGAUAAGGGAACUCCGAGUGCCAGUAUCUAAUACUGGCUGUCCUUGUGCCUAAACCGCACAAGAUAGCAAGGGCCGGGUAAGACCGGUGCCAGCCGCCGCGGUAACACCGGCGGCCCGAGUGGUAGCCGCUAUUAUUGGGUCUAAAGGGUCCGUAGCCGGUUCGAUAAGUCCUCUGGGAAAUCUGGUUGCUUAACAAUCAGACUGCCAAGGGAUACUGUUGAACUUGAGACCGGGAGAGGUAAGAGGUACUUCAGGGGUAGGAGUGAAAUCUUGUAAUCCCUGGGGGACCAUCUGUGGCGAAGGCGUCUUACCAGAACGGGUCUGACGGUGAGGGACGAAAGCUGGGGGCGCAAACCGGAUUAGAUACCCGGGUAGUCCCAGCCGUAAACGAUGCUCGCUAUGUGUCAGGUACGGUGUGACCGUAUCUGGUGCCGUAGGGAAGCCGUGAAGCGAGCCACCUGGGAAGUACGGUCGCAAGACUGAAACUUAAAGGAAUUGGCGGGGGAGCAC
Molecule: ribosomal RNA, 874 nt
Filed under: uncultured archaeon
Lineage: Archaea
Description: bacterial SSU rRNA
Rfam family: Archaeal small subunit ribosomal RNA
Source: RNAcentral